RNAcentral lists this ribosomal RNA (451 nucleotides) under uncultured bacterium. Its description in RNAcentral is "partial 16S ribosomal RNA". It matches the Rfam family "Bacterial small subunit ribosomal RNA", at positions 29 to 523 of the family's 1533-position model. The record is from RNAcentral.
AACGAACGCUGGCGGCAGGCCUAAUACAUGCAAGUCGAACGGAUGUAGCAAUACAUUAGUGGCGCACGGGUGCCUAACGCGUGGGAACAUACCCUUGAGUAAGGAAUAAUGUCUGGAAACGGACACUAAUACCUUAUAAUGACUUCGGUCCAAAGAUUCAUCGCUCAAGGAUUGGCCCGCGUCUGAUUAGCUAGUUGGUGAGGUAACGGCUCACCAAGGCGACGAUCAGUAGCUGGUCUGAGAGGAUGAUCAGCCACACUGGGACUGAGACACGGCCCAGACUCCUACGGGAGGCAGCAGUAAGGAAUAUUGGACAAUGGGGGAAACCCUGAUCCAGCCAUGCCGCGUGCGCGAUGACGGUCUUCGGAUUGUAAAGCGCUUUGAGUGGGGACGACGAUGACGGUACCCACAGAACAAGUCACGGCUAACUUCGUGCCAGCCGCCGCGGUAA